UUUCUUCGGAAAUGGAUUAGCGGCGAACGGGUGAGGAACACGUGAAGAAUCUGCCCUCCACUUUGGGAUAACACCGGGAAACCGGUGCUAAUACCGAAUAUUGAAACAUAAGUGGCAUCACUGAGUUUUGAAAGAAUUUCGGUGGAGGAUGACUUCGCGGCCUAUCAGCUAGUUGGUGAGGUAAUGGCUCACCAAGGCAACGACGGGUAGCCGGCCUGAGAGGGCGACCGGCCACACUGGGACUGAGACACGGCCCAGACUCCUACGGGAGGCAGCAGUGGGGAAUAUUGGGCAAUGGAGGAAACUCUGACCCAGCGACGCCGCGUGCGGGAUGAAGGCCUUCGGGUUGUAAACCGCUUUCAGUAGGGAAGAAGCGAAAGUGACGGUACCUACAAAAGAAGCACCGGCUAACUAUGUGCCAGCAGCCGCGGUAAUACAUAGGGUGCAAGCGUUGUCCGGAAUUAUUGGGCGUAAAGAGCUCGUAGGUCGUUUGUUACGUCGGAUGUGAAAACCUGAGGCUCAACCUCAGGCCUGCAUUCGAUACGGGCAAACUAGAGUUUGGUAGGGGAGACUGGAAUUCCUGGUGUAGCGGUGGAAUGCGCAGAUAUCAGGAGGAACACCAAUGGCGAAGGCAGGUCUCUGGGCCAAUACUGACACUGAGGAGCGAAAGUCUGGGGAGCGAACAGGAUUAGAUACCCUGGUAGUCCAGACCGUAAACGGUGGGCACUAGUUGUGGG
This 737-nucleotide ribosomal RNA is filed under the name uncultured Actinomycetes bacterium. RNAcentral's name for it is "bacterial SSU rRNA". It matches the Rfam family "Bacterial small subunit ribosomal RNA", at positions 75 to 826 of the family's 1533-position model. The record is from RNAcentral. Lineage: Bacteria; Bacillati; Actinomycetota; Actinomycetes.